UGCUUCCGACAGGCUAUGUGUGUGUGUGUGUGCGCGUGCUCGUGCUUUUCUGUUCUUUGACGUUGUUGUAUCUGGUUUGAUGGUGUCAACUCAGUGAGUGAAUCUUCUCCACUUCAGAACCUCUUUCAUGGGUUUCGUAGGAAUGUGGAAGACGUAUCAACAACUUUCCACGUGUCCUCUAACUUGAAGAAAAUUCUGGGGUUACAAGUAAUUAGGCUACUCCAACUUCCUUCCAAAACCAUCGCGUGUAGUCGCUGUACCUCAUUCGAAAAUAAAUAAUAUAAGGACUUGCCAUAGUGUCACUAAAAGCAUGGAGAAACCGAUCCAAAA
Long non-coding RNA from Zootermopsis nevadensis, 330 nucleotides. RefSeq lists it as uncharacterized. Lineage: Eukaryota; Metazoa; Arthropoda; Insecta; Blattodea; Termopsidae. The record is from RefSeq and is a predicted model, not a curated record.